This 269-nucleotide ribosomal RNA is filed under the name uncultured bacterium. RNAcentral describes it as "partial 16S ribosomal RNA". It matches the Rfam family "Bacterial small subunit ribosomal RNA", at positions 524 to 794 of the family's 1533-position model. The record is from RNAcentral.
UACGUAGGGGGCGAGCGUUGUCCGGAUUUACUGGGCGUAAAGAGCGCGUAGGCGGAAGCUUAAGUGUGGCCUGAAAGCCCCCGGCUCAACCGGGGAAGGUGGCUGCAAACUGGGUCUUCUGGAGGGAUAGGGAAAGUGGAAUUCCGGGUGUAGCGGUGAAAUGCGUAGAGAUCCGGAGGAACACCAGUGGCGAAGGCGGCUUUCUGGGUCCGCCCUGACGCUGAGGCGCGAAAGCGUGGGGAGCGAACGGGAUUAGAAACCCCGGUAGU